AUGAACGCUGGCGGCGUGCUUAACACAUGCAAGUCGAACGGAAAGGCCCAAGCUUGCUUGGGUACUCGAGUGGCGAACGGGUGAGUAACACGUGGGUGAUCUGCCCUGCACUUCGGGAUAAGCCUGGGAAACUGGGUCUAAUACCGGAUAGGACGAUGGUUUGGAUGCCAUUGUGGAAAGUUUUUUCGGUGUGGGAUGAGCUCGCGGCCUAUCAGCUUGUUGGUGGGGUAAUGGCCUACCAAGGCGUCGACGGGUAGCCGGCCUGAGAGGGGGUACGGCCACAUUGGGACUGAGAUACGGCCCAGACUCCUACGGGAGGCAGCAGUGGGGAAUAUUGCACAAUGGGCGCAAGCCUGAUGCAGCGACGCCGCGUGGGGGAUGACGGCCUUCGGGUUGUAAACUCCUUUCGCUAGGGACGAAGCGUUUUUGUGACGGUACCUGGAGAAGAAGCACCGGCUAACUACGUG
This 467-nucleotide ribosomal RNA is filed under the name uncultured bacterium. RNAcentral describes it as "partial 16S ribosomal RNA". It matches the Rfam family "Bacterial small subunit ribosomal RNA", at positions 29 to 507 of the family's 1533-position model. The record is from RNAcentral.